AUUUUUAUAGUAUAUAAAUGUACAGUUAACUUCCAAUUAACAAGAUUGAAAAAUUCAAUAAAAAUA
This 66-nucleotide transfer RNA is filed under the name Algete brunneri. RNAcentral describes it as "tRNA-Gly". Lineage: Eukaryota; Metazoa; Arthropoda; Insecta; Orthoptera; Pyrgomorphidae. The record is from RNAcentral.